This 365-nucleotide transfer-messenger RNA is filed under the name chicken gut metagenome. It matches the Rfam family "transfer-messenger RNA". From Rfam's summary of the family: Bacterial tmRNA, also known as 10Sa RNA or SsrA, is named for its dual tRNA and mRNA-like properties. The record is from RNAcentral.
GGGGGUGUACCGGUUUCGACGGGGAUGAGGAAGCGGGAUAAGCGGGCGGAUGCGCCCAGCAUCCAUAAAAUGGGCAACUUAUAAAUUAAAGAACAACAACACUGUUGCUGUUGCUGCCUAAGUAGGCGGCCGUCUGAACCGGGAGGGCCACAGACCGGGGAAGGCGUCGUUGAUGUGGCGUCCGUGAGGCGGGAAAGAGUUGACCCGCCCACGCAUCAUGACUCUCACCUGACCGCGCAGGCGUGACGGCUUGCCUAGCGGGAGGGGAACAGGGCGGUAACGCCGCCCAAGAUAACCGUCUGCGCCCGGAGAAGGUCCCGUGGAAUUGUUUUCGGACAGGGGUUCGACUCCCCUCACCUCCACCA